Populus euphratica (Euphrates poplar) is the source of this 407-nucleotide long non-coding RNA. RefSeq lists it as uncharacterized. The record is from RefSeq and is a predicted model, not a curated record. The transcript has 2 exons. NCBI's taxonomy places the organism in Eukaryota, Viridiplantae, Streptophyta, Magnoliopsida, Malpighiales, Salicaceae.
UUAUGGGCGAAUCAUAUUCCUUGAGUGGGAUAUAGGGACAAUCAUAUAGCUCGAGUUUCAUCCUUGGAAGUGGCAGAGAGUGUUCUUCAUUUAAUUAAUUGUUGUCUUCUUUUCAGCUCCUUUCGUUUUUCUCCCCUAAUCACCAUUUUCAAAAAAAAAAAAAAAAAACUUGAGAGAUCACAAUUAUAGUAACACUACAUACAUUAAGGAUUAUAUUUGUGUGAUCGUGAAUCUUCCGUUCGUUCCUGUCUCUACUACAAGGUAUGUAUUUCUACUCAUUCUUGUGUUAUUUGUUAUUGUCUUUAUAUUAUAUUAUAUUAUUAUUUCUUCAUACAUGUUUGUAAUUAUAAUCCAUGAAGAAAGAAAGUGAAAUAUCUGUUCAAUUUAAUCGCCAUUUUCUCCUACCA